AUCUGUACUUUUACUUAAGUAGGAACAUUUAGUACUUUUCCCACCACUGAACAAUGGUUAUUCUACAAGAGGAGCUGAAUUCCAUCAGUCCUCUGAGUGUUUCUGAUUUAUGCACCACUGAUGAACUGAAAAGUUGCCACAGAUUUUCUUUUUCCUUCAGACUUUUCAGACAUCACACAUGUACCACAAUAGAAUUACUGAAUUAUGAACAGAGAAAUGAUUAUUGUCUCUUGUCAACUACUAGAAAUGUGUCACUGAGCUGAACAAGGAUGGAGACUCCUGGAUUGGUCUACAGUUCACACAACAAAAAGGAUGGGAAUGGGUGGACGAGUCACCGCUGACAGUAAAGUUCUGGGCAACAGGACACCCGCACAGAAACAAUUACACUGCAGCAUUCUGCGAUCAACAAGGAAAAUGGACAACGAGCAGAUAUUAUGAUCAGAAGAACUGGAUCUGUGAGAAAGAGCUUUCCUGUUUAUCUUGAGGACAGAGGGGUGUGUAGUGUUGGGAUCAACUUUGUCAAAUCAGACCAACUCACAUUUUACAUUUCUUCAGUUGUUCAUUCUGUGUUGCAUCCUGAACAACCUGGAUUACAUAGAUAUUGUUCCUCUGCCCUACACAGUGAACAGUCUGGUUGGAAGUCAUCCACACAACUACAUGUGCACUUACCCUCUCUGCAGAGAGGGAUAUUACAACAGCCUGUUUUCAAAAAGCCUAAGAUGUCACAUACAUGACAACAAGGGGAAAGACGGCUCCUUUCUGUUUCAGUGUUAUUUAAGCCAUUAUCAUAAAGGACAAACCUCAUAGGCUUCUUCCACAGACCACUUACUGAUGUAGUUACACUUGGGAGGAGGAAAGAUUACGAAUGUGUUUUGGAGAGAAGGAUGCAUCUGAUUUUGAAUAAGAUUUUAAUCCAUCUUUAAUGCUUGGUUGCAUUUACACUUGGGCUGUUUUGCUAAUCAAAAGAUAUCAAAUCCACACAAGAUGCAUGAACUGAUAAUAAGUCACCUCCCCUGUAUGUGUGUCAGUAAGGAUGAUAUUCAAUCAUCUCUUUUGUUUUCUUCAUAAAAUUACAAGAGAACAGUUAUGUGUUUAACAUCUUAGGUUUAUUAUCAUCAUUGAACCAUUAAUACUUGUCACGUCAUUUCAUCUACUAGACAGAACAAAAAUAACUGGUCAACACAUCACAUUUCCUGUGUCAGAGAUGCAUGUGUGAAUAAACUAUAUGGAGAACAUGAAUGCAGCUUUGCACAAAUGUGUGAAUGUGAGCACAAACCUGCUGUUGAGUGAAAACCAUAUACUUCCUCAGUGUCACUGACAAAAAACAUCUUUAUGUUUCAGCUUUAAAUAUAGUUUUAUGCAGUUUAUGCCUCAAUUAAAGUCAAGUCUUCAAUAA
Molecule: long non-coding RNA, 1396 nt
Organism: Micropterus dolomieu (smallmouth bass)
Lineage: Eukaryota; Metazoa; Chordata; Actinopteri; Centrarchiformes; Centrarchidae
Exons: 2
Source: RefSeq, a predicted model, not a curated record